GGAAGGGAAGGGAAGGCGCCGGGCGGCGCUUCGGUGGCGGCUGCGGUGGAAAAGGUCAGCAUCCGCACACUAAAGCAGAUGUAAGCAUGGAGGGAGUCUACGCCUGAGACUGCAUUUUUGUGUGAAUCAGAGCUAGAACGGCCAAGAAACGGCCUCAGAGUAGGGUUUCAUGAUCAGCAGACUCCGAUCUCGGUGUGGCCGAGGGCUGCGGGCAGGUGUGGACAUCAGCGCUCCCGUGGGCCUGCACCCCCACAGAGGAGGGCGCCAGCCCACCUGCAAAUUAAGACUGCAACAAAUUCGUAGUUUCCAUCCUAGCUGGUUCCCUAGCCAAGUCCAUAGAUAGUUACAAGCACGACUGGGAUAGGAGCACCACUUGCCGUAGCAGCACCAUGUAUUUAGGUUCAAUUAAGCCCAUCAGGAAACGGCACCUUGACAAAUGGUGUUCGUGUAGCCUCAAGAUAAGUGAAGAUAAUGCUUUCUGAACUCCGCACUGCUUAGAAGGCUGCUUUAGGAUUCAGAAAAGGAAAUCGUCUCUUGAAAAUUGUUCUUAGUAUGGAGAAAGAUAUGCAUUUUGUAAAUAAUUUUAAAAGCUGUUCUUUAAACAAUUUUCAAGUAUGCAGCCUGUUUCUGUCUUGAUACAGACAUGUGCAACAUCAUCUAAAAUACUGACUUAUAUCUGAGGUUGAGAGAAAUAAAAAUACUUUAUGAAGUAUGGAGAAA
Molecule: long non-coding RNA, 720 nt
Organism: Vidua macroura (Pin-tailed whydah)
Lineage: Eukaryota; Metazoa; Chordata; Aves; Passeriformes; Viduidae
Exons: 2
Source: RefSeq, a predicted model, not a curated record